UUGAAAAUAAGAUACUAAGGUGCU
Molecule: non-coding RNA, 24 nt
Filed under: Mus musculus (house mouse)
Lineage: Eukaryota; Metazoa; Chordata; Mammalia; Rodentia; Muridae
Also listed under: 1 other name
Source: RNAcentral